This is a non-coding RNA of Prunus avium (sweet cherry), 638 nucleotides long. The record is from RefSeq and is a predicted model, not a curated record. NCBI's taxonomy places the organism in Eukaryota, Viridiplantae, Streptophyta, Magnoliopsida, Rosales, Rosaceae.
GUUGGGUGAACCAAGACAGAGACAAAAAGUGGGGUUUGACGGAGACAACGGCUAUCUCUAGCCACCUAACCUACUUCAUAUCUGCCCUGAAUACAAGAUCUUGGGCUUCAUUUCGAAUUAAUUUUGGGUUGGAUUCUCUUCUAUCAGCGUCUGCACGGCUACACAUUGACAGUGUUUUAUUUGGCUUUGAAGCAAAGCGUAUGUUUUGAUGUUGCUAGCAUGGAUGACGAGGACGAUGGCUGAGAGUUGGACUAGGCAACAACAACUAUAGUAUUGCUGUGGUCAGAGAUUGAUGUUCAAGUACUUUAGCAUCAUAUCAGUCAUGAUUUUAACAAUUUUGACUGUGUUUCUUGUGGUACUGCCGCUGGUUUUGCCACCACUGCCGCCGCCGCCUUUAGUACUUCUUUUUGUUCCGGUUCUGAUCCUGGCUGUUCUCGUUUUAAUGGCGUUUUCUCCUUUGCCGCGAGUUCCAGGUCAUAUGGCCGUCGCAUCUGUUUUGAUAUGAGUAUUAAUGAAGCAGCUUUCUUCAACUUUUUGUUUGUCUGGAGGUUUGGCCAAACUCUCCCAUUACUCUCUCUUUUUAUUUUUAUUUUUUGUAAAUAUAUAUUAACGUGAGAUUGGAACUUCUUUUUUUUUUU